Molecule: ribosomal RNA, 119 nt
Filed under: Triticum dicoccoides
Lineage: Eukaryota; Viridiplantae; Streptophyta; Magnoliopsida; Poales; Poaceae
Source: RNAcentral
GGAUGCGAUCAUACCAGCACUAAAGAAUCGGAUCCUACCAGAACUCUGAAGUUAAGCGUAAUUGGGCGAGAGUAGUACUAGGAUGGGUGACCUCUUGGGAAGUCCUCGUGUUGCAUUCC